Molecule: microRNA, 25 nt
Filed under: Oryctolagus cuniculus (rabbit)
Lineage: Eukaryota; Metazoa; Chordata; Mammalia; Lagomorpha; Leporidae
Description: Ocu-Mir-92-P1d_5p* (star (passenger))
Source: RNAcentral
AGGGACGGGGACGCGGUGCAGUGUU